GAGCAUCGUUCAAUUUUUUUUAUAAGUUAAUUUAGUAAAACUUAAUAAACUCCCUAAAUUAGUGGAAUAACCAUUAUAAAAUCACUAUUCUCUAAAGAAAAGGAGACAACAAAGGUUCCAAACAUUGUUGACAAUCAUCAUAUAUUAGUACAUGAGACAACUAUGCAUUAAAGCAAUAUUGUUAUAUUUUUUAAUUUUUUUUCAAAUCUAUGUGUUAAACGCUCUAUAUACUGAAGCCU
This 239-nucleotide long non-coding RNA is filed under the name Brassica napus (rape). RNAcentral's name for it is "long non-coding RNA (BNAP_LNC026785)". The record is from RNAcentral. Lineage: Eukaryota; Viridiplantae; Streptophyta; Magnoliopsida; Brassicales; Brassicaceae.